GGGGAUGUAAAGGUUUCGACGGGGAUUGGGAACCUUGGUAAGCGAGCAGCGGUGCGGAACCGCUAUAAAAUCCGCAAACUUAAAAGUAAACGACAACAAUAAAGUUGCGUACGCAGCCUAAUUAGGCUGCCGUCCUGCCCGGGAGCACCACGGCCUGGGACAGGGCGUCGAUGAGUGGUGAACGUGAACACGGUUACGCCUUUCCCCGUGUCACGGCUUAAAGGCUACCGAACCGCGAAGCCUGCCGAUCGGCGGCGCGGUGAGGGAAUCUGAAACGACCGGCUGCGCUCGGAGAAAACCUUGGCAAACGAUUUUCGGACAGGGGUUCGAUUCCCCUCAUCUCCACCA
This 348-nucleotide transfer-messenger RNA is filed under the name Anaeromassilibacillus sp. An200. It matches the Rfam family "transfer-messenger RNA". Rfam says of the family: Bacterial tmRNA, also known as 10Sa RNA or SsrA, is named for its dual tRNA and mRNA-like properties. Its role is to liberate the mRNA from a stalled ribosome. Lineage: Bacteria; Bacillati; Bacillota; Clostridia; Eubacteriales; Acutalibacteraceae. RNAcentral also lists the same sequence under 3 other names. The record is from Rfam by way of RNAcentral.